Long non-coding RNA from Struthio camelus australis, 2088 nucleotides. Lineage: Eukaryota; Metazoa; Chordata; Aves; Struthioniformes; Struthionidae. The record is from Ensembl.
GGACUUCGAACAGCUUACAAAGAGCUACAGGAAAUUACCAAAGAAGCCAGUGAGGCAGAGGCCAACCAUGACAUCUUGCUCCCUGGCUUAAUUUCCAAAUACUUUUCACCUUUGUUUUUCUACAUCUGGGUUGACCUGCUAAACCUACCUAACAAUUUACAGUUUUCAAAGCCCAUUGCCCGUGUUCAGAAGGCUAACUAUUUUCUUCAACUCACUGGGAGUCCUGCUGAGGAAAAGACCGAAAAGCGCCAAGGUCAGAAGAAAACGGGACUGAACAGGAGCUACACAAGGGGAUGCAGAAGAAGAUUUACUAGAGGGGUGCUGGAGUGGACAACGACCCAGCAGAGCCAACAGAAAAAGCCCCAGGAGCAGGCACUGCUGCAGCGUGUGAAGUAUUUACACAACCUGCCGGAGCAGCCCUUUCAGCUAGGGGUUACGGCUGUGCCAGGGAAUGAGAAAGGUCCUGUACUCUAGUGCCGAGGGCGAGAGGCACAGUACGCCUUGCAUCCGUUUUUGCGUCCUCCAGCCCAGCCUCCCUCAAAGCCUCAGAUGCCCAAAAUGACCUCCUGGGUGGAUGUCUCACAUACACCAGGGAAUCUCAAACGGCAACAGACACAUAAACAUGGGCACCUGAAUUGGGCCCCGCGUACGAUGAGCUGACACUGCUCCGUGCUCCCCAUUGACCAGCAUUGACUACAUCUCCACCGACUACACAACAACACUCACGCACAUGUGGACACCUACAUGUAUGUGUCUCGCUCUGGAGCUGAAUCGUACCUGAACUGUGCUAGUGGCUGUGUUGUCAAUGGCCCUGCUGCAGAAGAGAGAUAUUGGAGGUGCAAGGCAAAACCAAACGAAGAUAUGUAUACCUUUCAGGUAUCUGGUAACGUGACGGCCCCUUGCAACCAAGGAUAGACAAGGAAAGCCUGUGGCUUGCCCUCCACCUAGCUAGACUUACAGCAGUGCAGAUGCAGUGAUAUAGCUUCAUUCACCAGUAUUAUCCAGUGUCCUGUUAGGUUAAUAUGGUCUUUGCUUUAGCCUGUGCUGCUGCAUCUCUACUGCUUCAUCUUAUUGCUGUGCCUGCACCAGCGAGCCUGAAGGUAGCUCAGGUCUUGCUGCAUGAAGCGUGACCGCAUCUCUGAAUCACAGGGGAAAUGUAGGGCUGAAGCCACCAGACAGGGCUGAAGAACUGGGCACUGACCUUGGUUCAGAUCUCCUGACCCUGUAACUCGGUAUUUCUGCUCCAGCCACACAGGGAGACACCCAGAGCGAGCCCCACCGGCUGCGUGAAAUGCUAGCCGAGAGAAACAGCUUAACAUGCUCCCUGGUGCAGUGUGCUCGAAACCACCCAUCAGCAGGGUGCUGUGUCAGGAAAUACUGGAGACAGGGAAACCACAUUGGGUGCUGAGGUCCCCAGUCUUGCCUGAGCUUGCAGCGGGUGCACCUUAGUCACUGCAAGCAAAAUGGAUGAAUAUCUUCUGAAGUUAAUUAAAAUGAGAAAUGAACAGGUUGGGGGGAGGAUUUAGGAAAAAUGACACAGCUUUUCAACAGAGUAGCCCUGCUGCUCACGAGAGUAAAAGUAUAGCCCAGAAUGGAGUGGGAGAUACAUGCAGGGAGAGACAGAUAUAGACAUUUUAAAAUAACCAUACAAAAUGAAUAGAGAAUGUAACUGCGAAAUGAACUGUAAACAGAACAAAUUUACGUGAAACUGAACAAAACCAGGGAAGCUAGACUCACUACCUUUAUCUUGUGUGAAGGUUUUAUUGUGCCUUCAGGAAAAAAAAGGAGCUAAAAAGGGUUAUAAUAUCUCAUGAAACACACCUGCUGAGCUUAUAAUGGUUAUGCUCCAGGUAGAAGACAUUGCUUAUCAAAGCCUAAAUAACGUUCUCGCUUUCACAUGUAAAGAGGAACUGUAAAGUCUGGGAGUGGGAUUCCCUCAAGCAGACUAACCUCUGAAAAAUACCUACUUAUUCAUGGCUUGCAAGGUUGGGAACCUACAAGUUAUUCUGCAUUAACUAAGCUACAGAUCUGCUACUCUCUACACAAAUCCCAUAGGCGUAUUAAUAUCUUUCAGCACUUAGAAAUAAA